ACAGCCAUAUCUCAUUGGAAACAUCGAUUCUCGUCCAAUCACUGAAGUUAAGCAAUGUCGGGCCUGGUCAGUACAUGGGAGGGUGACCACUUGGAAACACCCGAUGCUUUAAGCU
Molecule: non-coding RNA, 115 nt
Organism: Cordylochernes scorpioides
Lineage: Eukaryota; Metazoa; Arthropoda; Arachnida; Pseudoscorpiones; Chernetidae
Source: the annotation of a GenBank genome assembly